CGUGUGGCUCAACGCCCUGGAGCUGCUGGACCCCAGCGGGAGCUGCGCCGGGGGGGCUGCGGACACUGACCUGGAUGAGGCGCUGCGGGAGUUCGGGUGCCCCCCCUGGGAAGAGCCCCGCAAGGUGGAUGAGCCGCUCAGGUACCCCCUGAUGGGACAGGGACCCCUCCCCAGGGUGGAGACCCCAAAUUAGGGGAGUCCCAGGA
This is a non-coding RNA of Sturnus vulgaris (Common starling), 206 nucleotides long. Lineage: Eukaryota; Metazoa; Chordata; Aves; Passeriformes; Sturnidae. The record is from RefSeq and is a predicted model, not a curated record.